UUUCUGUAGGUGAACCUGCGGAAGGAUCAUUGUUGUGACCCUAACCAAAACAGACCGCUCAUGCGUCAUCCAAUCCGUCGACGAAGGCACCGUCCGUCGCUCAGCCAAGUCCUCGAUCACCUCCCAUCCUCGGAGUGGGGGCAUAGGGUAAAAGAACCCGUGGCGCCGAAGGCAUCAAGCAACACUGUGCCUAACCUGGGGGCAUGGCUAGCUUGCUAGUCGUUUCCCAUGUUGCAAUGCUAUUUAAUCCACACAACUCUCGGCAACGGAUAUCUCGGCUCUC
RNAcentral lists this unclassified non-coding RNA (283 nucleotides) under root metagenome. Its description in RNAcentral is "partial contains small subunit ribosomal RNA, internal transcribed spacer 1, and 5.8S ribosomal RNA". The record is from RNAcentral.